This 266-nucleotide unclassified non-coding RNA is filed under the name Tolyposporium junci. RNAcentral's name for it is "partial internal transcribed spacer 2". Lineage: Eukaryota; Fungi; Basidiomycota; Ustilaginomycetes; Ustilaginales; Ustilaginaceae. The record is from RNAcentral.
AUUUCUUCGAGCGACAGCUUUUUUCACAAAGGGCUGGCGGAUCGGUUUUGAGGGGUUGCCAUUUGCACUGGCUCCCUCUAAAUGCAUUAGCUGGAUUGCAGAUCGAGGAUGGAAGGAUAUACGUCCCUCUCCCUUCGGAUUUUGAUAAUUAUCAAGAGACGAGGGUGAUGGAAACUCCCCCGACCUCGGACUGUAUCGGUCUGGCUUCUCAAACCCGCCCAUGGCCUGAACCCUUCACGGGGCGACGGUGUAGGGAAUUUUAAUUC